This 178-nucleotide transfer RNA is filed under the name Scedosporium apiospermum. Its description in RNAcentral is "tRNA-OTHER". It matches the Rfam family "tRNA". From Rfam's summary of the family: Transfer RNA (tRNA) molecules are approximately 80 nucleotides in length. Their secondary structure includes four short double-helical elements and three loops (D, anti-codon, and T loops). Further hydrogen bonds mediate the characteristic L-shaped molecular structure. tRNAs have two regions of fundamental functional importance: the anti-codon, which is responsible for specific mRNA codon recognition, and the 3' end, to which the tRNAs corresponding amino acid is attached (by aminoacyl-tRNA synthetases). tRNAs cope with the degeneracy of the genetic code in two manners: having more than one tRNA (with a specific anti-codon) for a particular amino acid; and 'wobble' base-pairing, i.e. permitting non-standard base-pairing at the 3rd anti-codon position. The record is from RNAcentral. Lineage: Eukaryota; Fungi; Ascomycota; Sordariomycetes; Microascales; Microascaceae.
GCCCCUGUGACGCAGUGGUUAGCGUGUCGUUCUUAUAUUGAUACGGCUUAGCUGAUCAAUAUGACGAGAAAUGCGAAAGUGUAAGUCCGCCUCGAAGCUUUCAAUUACCCCGAUAAGGUAAUUAUCACACAGCGACUAACUGGGUUAAAUAGCGAGGGUUCGACCCCCUCCAGGAGCA